ACGAACGCUGGCGGCGUGCUUCACCCAUGCCAGUCGAACGGAAAGGCCCUGCUUUUGUGGGGUGCUCGAGUGGCGAACGGGUGAGUAACACGUGAGUAACCUGCCCUUGACUUUGGGAUAACUUCAGGAAACUGGGGCUAAUACCGGAUAGGAGCUCCUGCUGCAUGGUGGGGGUUGGAAAGUUUCGGCGGUUGGGGAUGGACUCGCGGCUUAUCAGCUUGUUGGUGGGGUAGUGGCUUACCAAGGCUUUGACGGGUAGCCGGCCUGAGAGGGUGACCGGCCACAUUGGGACUGAGAUACGGCCCAGACUCCUACGGGAGGCAGCAGUGGGGAAUAUUGCACAAUGGGCGGAAGCCUGAUGCAGCAACGCCGCGUGCGGGAUGACGGCCUUCGGGCUGUAAACCGCUUUCGCCUGUGACGAAGCGUGAGUGACGGUAAUGGGUAAAGAAGCACCGGCUAACUACGUG
Molecule: ribosomal RNA, 467 nt
Filed under: uncultured bacterium
Lineage: Bacteria
Description: partial 16S ribosomal RNA
Rfam family: Bacterial small subunit ribosomal RNA
Source: RNAcentral